RNAcentral lists this long non-coding RNA (1219 nucleotides) under Chrysemys picta bellii (western painted turtle). RNAcentral's name for it is "lncRNA (ENSCPBG00000013404.1)". Lineage: Eukaryota; Metazoa; Chordata; Testudines; Emydidae. The record is from RNAcentral.
AUGACUGACAGACUCCCCUCUAGGAGAGAACGUGGCACAGCAAGUGCUCAUGGGCUGGGAGGACUCAUGACAACUCCACUUUUGUCUCCUGAAAGGUCUCUUUGCAACUGGAGCAUCUUUUGGCCUUUGGUUUGCUCUAUUUCUCUUGCUGAGAGGAGCAUGGGGGGAGGCAGGGAAACAAAGGUGUUCAGCCAGGGAACUUACUCAGAGCGAGGGUGAGGGAGGAGAGGUUCUGGUUGUUUUAAGUAAGAUUUGCAAUGGAUAAGGCAAGAGCUCCGAACCAUUGCUUUGUUUGUAUUGCUAGAGGCAGAGAAACUGACACAAAGGCAAAAGGAUGCAGCCAACUCCUGGAUCCUCAUGGACAAGUCUGAACUGCCUCCACUAUUUGCAGGAAAAGAGGUGCAGCUCAAAUAGUCUGACAGAUCACAACCAAGAGAGGAGGUUUCCAGCAAGAAGUGAGGCAAAAUUCCUGUUUGUAGGCAAAACAUUUCCAGAGCUUAGAUGGAGUUGGCAGUGACAUUAAUUACUGAUUACACAAGUACCAUGAUUCAUUUACAGAGGUGUAUGUUUAGGUUCUAUGUUACACUGUUACUUGUAGGUGGAUCUCUGUUUAAUAUCAGAAACAAUUCAAUAAGGAAUCUAUACAGAUCCCUGAUAAUAGUGUUAACUGAAAUUAUGUGUUGAGAGAAUUUGGGAAAGUAGUUGUCAUGGAGCUGCACAAAGAGGAUGCUCUCAGUCUUUGGAGAAGUCCCACUUAUCCCUGGUCUACACUACAGUGUUAGGUCAAAUUUAGCCGCAUUAGGUGGAUUUUAUAAUGAAUGCAUCUACACAAGAAACCCCGUUCCUUUGACCUAAAGGGCUCUUAAAAUUGACUUCUGUACUCCUCCCUGGCGAGUAGCACUGAAAUCGACCUUGCUGGGUCGAAUUUGGGGUAAUGUGGACGCAAAUCGACGGUACUGGCCUCCGGAAGCUAUCCCAGAGUGCUCCAAUGUGACCGCUCUGGACAGCACUUUCAACUCCGAUGCACUAGCCAGGAACACAGGAAAAGCCUCGGAAACUUUUGAAUUUAAUUUCCUGUUUGGUCAGCGUGGUGAGCUCAGUAGCACAGGUGACCAUGCAGUCCCCCCAGAAUCGCAAAUGAGUUCCAGCAUGGAGCGAACAGGAGACACUGGAUCUAAUUGCUGUAUGGAGAGAAGAAUCUGUGCAGGCAGAACUCCGA